Molecule: ribosomal RNA, 1467 nt
Filed under: uncultured bacterium
Lineage: Bacteria
Description: bacterial SSU rRNA
Rfam family: Bacterial small subunit ribosomal RNA
Source: RNAcentral
GAUGAACGCUAGCGACAGGCUUAACACAUGCAAGUCGAGGGGCAGCACAGGUAGCAAUACCGGGUGGCGACCGGCGCACGGGUGAGUAACGCGUAUGCAACUUACCUAUCAGAGGGGGAUAACCCGGCGAAAGUCGGACUAAUACCGCAUGAAGCAGGGGCCCCGCAUGGGGAUAUUUGCUAAAGAUUCAUCGCUGAUAGAUAGGCAUGCGUUCCAUUAGGCAGUUGGCGGGGUAACGGCCCACCAAGCCGACGAUGGAUAGGGGUUCUGAGAGGAAGGUCCCCCACAUUGGUACUGAGACACGGACCAAACUCCUACGGGAGGCAGCAGUGAGGAAUAUUGGUCAAUGGCCGAGAGGCUGAACCAGCCAAGUCGCGUGAGGGAUGAAGGUUCUAUGGAUCGUAAACCUCUUUUAUAAGGGAAUAAAGUGCGGGACGUGUCCCGUUUUGUAUGUACCUUAUGAAUAAGGAUCGGCUAACUCCGUGCCAGCAGCCGCGGUAAUACGGAGGAUCCGAGCGUUAUCCGGAUUUAUUGGGUUUAAAGGGUGCGUAGGCGGCCUUUUAAGUCAGCGGUGAAAGUCUGUGGCUCAACCAUAGAAUUGCCGUUGAAACUGGGGGGCUUGAGUAUGUUUGAGGCAGGCGGAAUGCGUGGUGUAGCGGUGAAAUGCAUAGAUAUCACGCAGAACCCCGAUUGCGAAGGCAGCCUGCCAAGCCAUGACUGACGCUGAUGCACGAAAGCGUGGGGAUCAAACAGGAUUAGAUACCCUGGUAGUCCACGCAGUAAACGAUGAUCACUAGCUGUUUGCGAUACACUGUAAGCGGCACAGCGAAAGCGUUAAGUGAUCCACCUGGGGAGUACGCCGGCAACGGUGAAACUCAAAGGAAUUGACGGGGGCCCGCACAAGCGGAGGAACAUGUGGUUUAAUUCGAUGAUACGCGAGGAACCUUACCCGGGUUUGAACGCAUUCGGACCGAGGUGGAAACACCUUUUCUAGCAAUAGCCGUUUGCGAGGUGCUGCAUGGUUGUCGUCAGCUCGUGCCGUGAGGUGUCGGCUUAAGUGCCAUAACGAGCACAACCCUUGCCACUAGUUACUAACAGGUAAAGCUGAGGACUCUGGUGGGACUGCCAGCGUAAGCUGCGAGGAAGGCGGGGAUGACGUCAAAUCAGCACGGCCCUUACAUCCGGGGCGACACACGUGUUACAAUGGCGUGGACAAAGGGAAGCCACCUGGCGACAGGGAGCGAAUCCCAAACCACGUCUCAGUUCGGAUCGGAGUCUGCAACCCGACUCCGUGAAGCUGGAUUCGCUAGUAAUCGCGCAUCAGCCAUGGCGCGGUGAAUACGUUCCCGGGCCUUGUACACACCGCCCGUCAAGCCAUGGGAGCCGGGGGUACCUGAAGUCCGUAACCGCGAGGAUCGGCCUAGGGUAAAACUGGUGACUGGGGCUAAGUCGUAACAAGGUAACCGU